UCAAGCUACUACGGGUAGACGGUGGAUGCCUUGGCGCUAGGAGCCGAUGAAGGACGUUAUGGUCUGCGAUAAGCCUCGGGGAGUUGACGAAUAAGCGUUGAUCCGGGGAUCUCCGAAUUGGGAAACCAGGCUGGGGUCAUGCCCAGUCAUUCCGGUCUGAACACAUAGGGCCGGUAAAGGAAACCGAGGGAAUUGAAACAUCUCAGUACCUCGAGGAAAAGAAAGCAACAGCGAUUCCCUGAGUAGCGGCGAGCGAAACGGGAUCAGCCCAAACCAGUGCGGUGUGAUAGGUCGACGCCGUUGCCGUGCUGGGGUAGAGGGACUUGCCAUUGCGGGACGUCGAUCCCGCUGAACGAGUUACAAAAUCGUCAGAUAACCGAAUACCACUGGAAAGUGGAGCCACAGGAGGUAACAGCCCCGUAGGUGAAAUCUAGGCGAUCUCGUGGUGAUGUUCCCAAGUAGCACGGGGCACGUGAAAUCCCGUGUGAAUCUGCCAGGACCACCUGGUAAGGCUACAUACUACCUAGCGACCGAUAGCGGACAAGUACCGUGAGGGAACGGUGAAAAGUACCCCGGUGAGGGGAGUGAAAUAGUACCUGAAACCGUCUACUUACAAGCAGUAGGAGGGGUUCUUCGGAGCCCUGACUGCCUGCCUUUUGAAGAAUGAGCCUACGAGUUAUCGAUGUGUGGCAAGGUUAAGCCGAGAGGUGUAGCCGCAGCGAAAGCAAGUCUUAAUAGGGCGCCAAGUCGCAUGUCAUAGACCCGAAGCCGAGUGAUCUAUCCAUGGACAGGGUGAAGCGAGGGUAAGACCUCGUGGAGGCCCGAACCCACCUAGGUUGAAAACUGGGGGGAUGAUCUGUGGAUAGGGGUGAAAGGCCAAUCAAACUCGGCGAUAGCUGGUUCUCCCCGAAAUAGCUUUAGGGCUAGCGUCGGGUGUUCCGCAUUGGGGGUAGAGCACUGAUUGGGCAAGGGGGCCAACAAGCUUACUAACCCCAGUCAAACUCCGAAUCUCAAUGCGCCAAACCCGGCAGUCAGACCAUGGGGGAUAAGCUUCAUGGUCGAAAGGGAAACAGCCCAGACCGCCAGUUAAGGUCCCAAAAUCAUGACUAAGUGGGGAACGAUGUAGGGUUGCCCAAACAGCCAGGAGGUUGGCUUAGAAGCAGCCACCCUUUAAAGAGUGCGUAACAGCUCACUGGUCGAGUGAUCCCGCGCGGAUGAUGUAACGGGGCUCAAGUCAUGUACCGAAACUGCGGAUUCACACUGUCAACUCCGAUGCGCACGGUUCGCCGUGCGUGUCCAGAGGGUGUGAGUGGUAGGGGAGCGUCGAAUGCCCCCUGAAGCGGCGGCGGAAGCCAGCCGUGGAGGGCAUUCGAGUGAGAAUGUAGGCAUGAGUAGCGAAUGAAGAGUGAGAAUCUCUUCCGCCGAAUGUCCAAGGGUUCCUGGGGAAGGCUCGUCCGCCCAGGGUUAGUCUGGACCUAAGGUGAGGCCGAAAGGCGUAAUCGAUGGACAACAGGUUGAUAUUCCUGUACUACCCAAGACGCGUCCAGACCGAAUCGCGUUUGCUAAGGAAAGCCCUUCGGGGCCUACCGACCCAGCGUGUAGUAGGUCAGCGAUGGAGUGACACGGAAGGGCGAACGGACCCGGGCGUUGGUUGACCCGGGGUAAGUGCGUAGGCCGAGAUCCAGGCAAAUCCGGAUCUCACAAAGGCCGAGACACGAUGCCGAGCCGCUAUUAGGCGAAGCCGUUGACCCCAUGCCGUCGAGAAAAGCUUCUAGCGAGCUUCUUGGGUACCAGUACCCGAAACCGACACAGGUGGACAAGUAGAGAAUACUAAGGCGAGCGAGAUAACUCUGGUUAAGGAAUUCGGCAAAAUGGAUCCGUAACUUCGGGAGAAGGAUCGCCCCGGUAGGGUGUAGGACUUCGCGUCCGAAGCCCGAGGGGGUUGCAGAUACCAGGCCCAAGCGACUGUUUACUAAAAACACAGGAGCGUGCUAAGUCGAAAGACGACGUAUACGCUCUGACGCCUGCCCGGUGCCGGAAGGUCAAGUGGAUUGGUUAGCUCUUCGGAGCGAAGCUAUGAAAUCAAGCCCCGGUAAACGGCGGCGGUAACUAUAACCGUUAGCAGUAACCAUAAGGCGGUUGUAAAACCUGGCUAUAUGCUGGAACAUCCGAGAAUCUGGCGGUACUCACCCGAGCACGCUUCUGCGUGAUUGGGAAGUGACAAUCCGACCAGUGCGGACAAUCAGCAGGAAACCAAAGUCACGACACAGCAGCUCGAGUCGAGCUGGACAUCACAUCUCGGUGGAUGGCAACUCACUGCCACCGUCCGGGCGUCCAUCAGGUACUCAGGCUCAUGGUGUCCGUGAAGAAUGGCGACUUCCAACCAACGCAUCGAUCGCGAGAUCGAAGCGUCGCAUGGAAUUCUUGCAUUCGGGUGGCUUCAACGAAUCGGCUCAGGCCGAUCGAAGGCAUCCUGCAGGGAUCCUCAGAGACUGUACGCCAGGCCCCUCGGUGAGACGAGGGGAUGAUACAGUCCGAUCCCCAUGGCGACAUGGGGAGUCAGGCAGAAAUGUCCUGACCGCGUCCCGUGCGUGCCGUCCACGCACAUCGACAUCAGGGACGCAGUAACAAGAAUGCCUAAGGUAGCGAAAUUCCUUGUCGGGUAAGUUCCGACCUGCACGAAUGGCGUAACGACUCGGGCACUGUCUCAACCAGAGACUCGGCGAAAUUGCAAUGUGAGUAAAGAUGCUCACUUCCCGCGACAGGACGGAAAGACCCCGGGACCUUUACUGCAGCUUGACAUUGAAGUUCUUCAUGUGAUGUGUAGGAUAGGUGGGAGUCAAUGAAGCGGCCGCGCUAGCGGUCGUGGAGACAACCUUGAAAUACCACCCUUCCCAUGACGUGCUUCUAACUUCGGUCCGUUAUCCGGAUCAAGGACAGUGUCUGGUGGGCAGUUUCACUGGGGUGGUGGCCUCCUAAAGUGUAACGGAGGCGCCCAAAGGUUCCCUCAGCCAGGUCGGCAAUCUGGCGGCGAGUGUAAAGGCACAAGGGAGCUUGACUGCGAGACAGACAAGUCGAGCAGGUACGAAAGUAGGGCUUAGUGAUCCCUCGGCGGCAUGUGGGUGCGCCGAGGCCAACGGCUAAAAGGUACCCCGGGGAUAACAGGCUCAUACCGCCCAAGAGUCCAUAUCGACGGCGGUGUUUGGCACCUCGAUGUCGGCUCGUCUCAUCCUGGGGCUGAAGCAGGUCCCAAGGGUCGGGCUGUUCGCCCGUUAAAGAGGCACGCGAGCUGGGUUUAGAACGUCGUGAGACAGUUCGGUCCCUAUCCGUCGUGGGCGCAGGAGAUUUGAGGAGAGUUGUCCCUAGUACGAGAGGACCGGGAUGAACGUACCUCUGGUGUGCCAGUUGUUCUGCCAAGAGCACGGCUGGUUUGCUACGUACGGAACGGAUAAGCGCUGAAAGCAUCUAAGCGCGAAACCGGCUCCGAGAUGAGAUCUCCCACUGAGAAAUCAGGUAAGGCCCCUGGUAGACGACCAGGUUGAUAGGCCGGAAGUGGAAGCGCAGCAAUGUGUGAAGCUGACCGGUACUAAUAGGCCGAGGGCUUGAAUUU
RNAcentral lists this ribosomal RNA (3610 nucleotides) under Gemmatimonadota bacterium. Its description in RNAcentral is "bacterial LSU rRNA". It matches the Rfam family "Bacterial large subunit ribosomal RNA". Lineage: Bacteria; Pseudomonadati; Gemmatimonadota. The record is from RNAcentral.